Molecule: transfer RNA, 74 nt
Filed under: Marinithermus hydrothermalis DSM 14884
Lineage: Bacteria; Thermotogati; Deinococcota; Deinococci; Thermales; Thermaceae
Rfam family: tRNA
About the family: Transfer RNA (tRNA) molecules are approximately 80 nucleotides in length. Their secondary structure includes four short double-helical elements and three loops (D, anti-codon, and T loops). Further hydrogen bonds mediate the characteristic L-shaped molecular structure. tRNAs have two regions of fundamental functional importance: the anti-codon, which is responsible for specific mRNA codon recognition, and the 3' end, to which the tRNAs corresponding amino acid is attached (by aminoacyl-tRNA synthetases). tRNAs cope with the degeneracy of the genetic code in two manners: having more than one tRNA (with a specific anti-codon) for a particular amino acid; and 'wobble' base-pairing, i.e. permitting non-standard base-pairing at the 3rd anti-codon position.
Source: Rfam by way of RNAcentral
GCGCCCGUAGCUCAGUCGGAUAGAGCAGGGGCCUCCUAAGCUCCAGGUCGCAGGUUCGAUUCCUGCCGGGCGCA